AUGAUGGCAAGCCUGCAUCUUCUGCCAUACUUUUGGCAACUUCUUUUGAAAGUAUUUGCCUAUACAAAUCAGCAGCUCUAGAUGUAUACUUAGCCUCAAUUUUCCCGCCAUCAGUCCAUCCAUGUUGCUUGAAGAAAGACCUGUGCACGAUUGUUUCCCCCAAAGCUCAUCAUCCUCAAUUGCUCAUGACUCCAAGAAUCUAAAUUUGUAGACCUGACGAAACUGAUGUGUACUCCAAGGCUGCGAUGAACAGCGGAGCAAUCGAUGCAAAGGAAGAUCCCAUAAGUCACAGAUGCCCAUGUAGGGUUUUUGGCAUUGCAAUC
Molecule: unclassified non-coding RNA, 323 nt
Filed under: Hevea brasiliensis (rubber tree)
Lineage: Eukaryota; Viridiplantae; Streptophyta; Magnoliopsida; Malpighiales; Euphorbiaceae
Source: RNAcentral